CCCACAGGCCGUAAACCCAAGGUUUCCAGGGGAAGGUUCGUCCGCCCUGGGUUAGUCGGGACCUAAGCUGAGGCCGAAAGGCGUAGGUGAUGGACAACAGGUGGAUAUUCCUGUACUACCGAUAACCAUUUGAGAGAAGGGAUGACACAGUAGGAUAAGCUAAGCACACUGUUGGUUAUGUGUGCCCAAGCAUUGAGGCAGUCAAAGUAGGCAAAUCCGCUUUGAUAAUG
Molecule: ribosomal RNA, 230 nt
Filed under: Clostridioides difficile
Lineage: Bacteria; Bacillati; Bacillota; Clostridia; Peptostreptococcales; Peptostreptococcaceae
Description: partial 23S ribosomal RNA
Rfam family: Bacterial large subunit ribosomal RNA
Source: RNAcentral